This 105-nucleotide small nucleolar RNA is filed under the name Drosophila willistoni. RNAcentral describes it as "snoRNA:GK26597". The record is from RNAcentral. Lineage: Eukaryota; Metazoa; Arthropoda; Insecta; Diptera; Drosophilidae.
UACCACACCAAGCUUUUCAUUGCCUUCAAACAAUUAAUGCCAGAGGCUUUGGAUAAAAAGUUGUGGUUAUAUAGAAAUCCAGUUGCGAUUAAACUUUCAUCCGGA